UUCCCGGGCCUUGUACACACCGCCCGUCACACCACGAAAGUUGGCAAUACCCGAAGCCGGUGGCCUAACCCGCAAGGGAGGGAGCCGUCUAAGGUAGGGGUUGAUGAUUGGGGUG
RNAcentral lists this ribosomal RNA (115 nucleotides) under uncultured bacterium. Its description in RNAcentral is "partial 16S ribosomal RNA". It matches the Rfam family "Bacterial small subunit ribosomal RNA", at positions 1371 to 1482 of the family's 1533-position model. The record is from RNAcentral.